UUGGAGGGCAAGUCUGGUGCCAGCAGCCGCGGUAAUUCCAGCUCCAAUAGCGUAUAUUAAAGUUGUUGCAGUUAAAAAGCUCGUAGUUGAAUCUCGGGGUUAGUAGGUUGGUCAUGCCUCUGGUAUGUACUAGUCUCACUGAUUCCUCCUUCCCGAUGAACCGUAAUGCCAUUAAUUUGGUGUUGCGGGGAAUUUGGACUGUUACUUUGAAAAAAUUAGAGUGUUUAAAGCAAGCUAACGCUUGAAUACAUUAGCAUGGAAUAAUGAGAUAGGACGUUCGAUCCUAUUUUGUUGGUUUCUAGGAUUGACGUAAUGAUUAAUAGGGAUAGUUGGGGGCAUUAGUAUUCAAUUGUCAGAGGUGAAAUUCUUGGAUUUAUUGAGGACUAACUACUGCGAAAGCAUUUGCCAAGGAUGUUUUCAUUAAUCAAGAACGAAAGUUAGGGGAUCGAAGACGAUCAGAUACCGUCGUAGUCUUAACCAUAAACUAUGCCGACUAGGGAUCGGAUGAUGUUAAUUUUUUAAUGACUCAUUCGGCACCUUACGGGAAAC
This 549-nucleotide ribosomal RNA is filed under the name uncultured Glomus. RNAcentral's name for it is "SSU rRNA". It matches the Rfam family "Eukaryotic small subunit ribosomal RNA", at positions 548 to 1098 of the family's 1831-position model. The record is from RNAcentral. Lineage: Eukaryota; Fungi; Glomeromycota; Glomeromycetes; Glomerales; Glomeraceae.